This 1177-nucleotide ribosomal RNA is filed under the name uncultured bacterium. Its description in RNAcentral is "bacterial SSU rRNA". It matches the Rfam family "Bacterial small subunit ribosomal RNA", at positions 8 to 1189 of the family's 1533-position model. The record is from RNAcentral.
AGGGUUUGAUCCUGGCUCAGAUUGAACGCUGGCGGCAUGCCUAACACAUGCAAGUCGAACGGCAGCGCGGGAGAGCUUGCUCUCCUGGCGGCGAGUGGCGGACGGGUGAGUAAUGCGUAGGAAUCUGCCCCAAAGCGGGGAAUAACUCGGGGAAACUCGAGCUAAUACCGCAUAAUCUCUAAGGAGCAAAGCUAGGGACCUUCGGGCCUGGCACUUUGGGAUGAGCCUACGUCGGAUUAGCUUGUUGGUGGGGUAAUGGCCUACCAAGGCAACGAUCCGUAGCUGGUUUGAGAGGAUGAUCAGCCACACUGGGACUGAGACACGGCCCAGACUCCUACGGGAGGCAGCAGUGGGGAAUAUUGGACAAUGGGCGAAAGCCUGAUCCAGCAAUGCCGCGUGUGUGAAGAAGGCCCUCGGGUUGUAAAGCACUUUCAGUAGGGAAGAAACAUCCUACGUUAAUAGCGUAGGAGAAUGACGUUACCUACAAAAGAAGCACCGGCUAACUCUGUGCCAGCAGCCGCGGUAAUACAGAGGGUGCAAGCGUUAAUCGGAAUUACUGGGCGUAAAGCGCUCGUAGGCGGAUUAUUAAGUCGAAUGUGAAAUCCCUGGGCUCAACCUAGGAACUGCAUUCGAAACUGGUAGUCUAGAGUAUGGUAGAGGAAAGUGGAAUUCCCGGUGUAGCGGUGAAAUGCGUAGAUAUCGGGAGGAACAUCAGUGGCGAAGGCGGCUUUCUGGACCAAUACUGACGCUGAGGGGCGAAAGCGUGGGUAGCAAACAGGAUUAGAUACCCUGGUAGUCCACGCCCUAAACGAUGAGAACUAGGCGUUGGGAGGCUUGACCUCUUAGUGCCGAAGCUAACGCGUUAAGUUCUCCGCCUGGGGAGUACGGUCGCAAGAUUAAAACUCAAAGAAAUUGACGGGGGCCCGCACAAGCGGUGGAGCAUGGUGGUUUAAUUCGAUGCAACGCGAAAAACCUUACCCACCUUGACAUCUCAGAAUCUCUGUAUGAGGAGAGGUGCUCGGGACUGAGUACAGUGCUGCAUGCCUGUCGUCAGCUCGGUGUCUUGAGAAUGUGUUAGUCCGGUUACGAGCGCCACCCCUAAUCCUAGGUUACAGCGAUCCGGUUCGCACUUAGGCAACUGCCGGUAAUAACCGGAGGAGUGGGGAUAUAUUUCCCG